ACCAUUCAGCCUGAUCCGGAAGGAAGGCCAUGAUUUCAGCUCUCUGGGAUUUGAGACAAAGAGGCCCCUUUUCUUUCAUUUUAUCUUUUCAUGUCUCUUCUUGCCAUGUACCCACAUGAUUGAGUGUGGGCUGAGGGUGAAUCCAAGAAGGGCUUUGUUUUGUGGUCAGUACAGGCUUUGGUCCACAGAGACAACAAUACUUUCAAUACUCUUUUGUUCUGCCCCAGAGGAGCUCAACACAGAAUUGCCUAGAACAAGAAACUGGAAUUGUACAUGGCGAUCAUCAGCAGUAUGAAGAGGAGCUGUGGGGCCAGUGAGAGAAGCUGCAGCCUGUUGAGACUCCACAAGACUGAAGAUAUGAAAAGAGGAAAUAUGCAUGAAUGCCCGCACGGAGAACCACCCCCACCUGCUGCUCCCGCUCUAAUGAUCACGCCCAUUAUCAACUGGGGGAUGGCUCUGUGCCUUGUCCUUGCAUUACAUGGACCAAGAACACUUCACAGGACUCAGAGAGGCAAAAAUAGAUACAAAAGAAGAAGGAAUUACAGAAGAAGUCACAUAACAUUAUUGCCUACAACUGACUGUUUACCUUGAAUACUUGAAGACCAGAAUGAAGAUUCUUGGGGUGAAGAAUUACAGCCUUAGCAUGGAGCAGGCCUCGGUGCAUCGGCUUUCAGCUAGGCAUGCCUGCCAAUGUUCAACGUCCUCCUGGGAUACGGAAGGCACCGUGAUAGACAUCUGGGCAAGUCAACAGGAAGGUGGAUAUCCAAAUCUCUCUCUUCGCAAUGAGUUUCCAGUUAGAUGGAGGAGAGAGUAAUAAAACACAGAGCUGAGAUUCCUGACUUCACAGAUCCCUGAGGAGAUGUUUACUAAAGGGAAUCUUCUGGUCACUGUUACCUUCCUCCGUACUUACCUGCCUCAUGGAUAACACUGAAGAAUGCAGUUUACUUACAUCUUUUUCUGUUUGACAGAAGACAGUUAUUAGUUACCCUUGGGACAUCAAAAUGACCAAGGCAGUGUCUGCUAAGUAUUUGCUGAGACUCUGCUAUGAUUCUUUCAAGUCUAAAGACAGUUAUCUGAAUGAUAUCCCCGUGACAGUGGACUCCUGCACAUUCACAGUCCUGGAAGGAGCCUGUCCACAUUGGCAUUCUGGAAGUCCAUAAAAGACAAACGCAUAUGCAGUCCCCGAGAAAGCAUUGUUGUAAACAAAUCUGCACUAGAUGGAAACUCUGUUAUGUGGUGCCGGCAUGCAUGGAAGAGAACCCGAAAGGAAGAAGCUAUACGACUGGGGACACAUGUCUUAGAAGCACACUCAUUAGAUAAAGUGUCGCAUACUCUUUGAUAAGACAACCCUUACAAGAUUUUUGCCCAGCGAAAGUGGCACGUGGAACAUGGAAUGACAUUUCAUAAAGAUAAAUCCAGAGAUUAGUGCUGAAGACUACACCCCUGUGUAGUCCCACACAGGCUACCCCAGACCAGCCUGGCGGGCUCUGCACUAGGCCUCCCAUCAGGCGAGAGCCAACGCUCCUCAGCCCGGCUCCACCUCAUUCAGAAGAAAGUGUGUCUCCC
RNAcentral lists this long non-coding RNA (1566 nucleotides) under Homo sapiens (human). RNAcentral describes it as "non-protein coding LINC01060:16". The record is from RNAcentral. Lineage: Eukaryota; Metazoa; Chordata; Mammalia; Primates; Hominidae.